This 101-nucleotide ribosomal RNA is filed under the name Yersinia enterocolitica (type O:9) str. YE56/03. The record is from RNAcentral. Lineage: Bacteria; Pseudomonadati; Pseudomonadota; Gammaproteobacteria; Enterobacterales; Yersiniaceae. RNAcentral also lists the same sequence under 1 other name.
GCCAUAGCGCGGUGGACCCACCUGAACCCAUGCCGAACUCAGAAGUGAAACGCCGUAGCGCCGAUGGUAGUGUGGGGUCUCCCCAUGCGAGAGUAGGACAC